UGGGUUUAAGGGUCCGUAGGCGGUUUAGUAAGUCAGUGGUGAAAGCCCAUCGCUCAACGGUGGAACGGCCAUUGAUACUGCUAAACUUGAAUUAUUAGGAAGUAACUAGAAUAUGUAGUGUAGCGGUGAAAUGCUUAGAGAUUACAUGGAAUACCAAUUGCGAAGGCAGGUUACUACUAAUUGAUUGACGCUGAUGGACGAAAGCGUGGGUAGCGAACAGGAUUAGAUACCCUGGUAGUCCACGCCGUAAACGAUGGAUACUAGCUGUUGGAAGCAAUUUCAGUGGCUAAGCGAAAGUGAUAAGUAUCCCACCUGGGGAGUACGUUCGCAAGAAUGAAACUCAAAGGAAUUGACGGGGGCCCGCACAAGCGGUGGAGCAUGUGGUUUAAUUCGAUGAUACGCGAGGAACCUUACCAAGGCUUAAAUGUAGAUUGACCGUUUUGGAAACAGAACUUUCGCAAGACAAUUUACAAGGUGCUGCAUGGUUGUCGUCAGCUCGUGCCGUGAGGUGUCAGGUUAAGUCCUAUAACGAGCGCAACCCCUGUUGUUAGUUGCCAGCGAGUCAUGUCGGGAACUCUAACAAGACUGCCAGUGCAAACUGUGAGGAAGGUGGGGAUGACGUCAAAUCAUCACGGCCCUUACGCCUU
Molecule: ribosomal RNA, 647 nt
Filed under: Flavobacterium sp.
Lineage: Bacteria; Pseudomonadati; Bacteroidota; Flavobacteriia; Flavobacteriales; Flavobacteriaceae
Description: bacterial SSU rRNA
Rfam family: Bacterial small subunit ribosomal RNA
Source: RNAcentral